Long non-coding RNA from Pistacia vera, 803 nucleotides. RefSeq lists it as uncharacterized. Lineage: Eukaryota; Viridiplantae; Streptophyta; Magnoliopsida; Sapindales; Anacardiaceae. The transcript is spliced from 3 exons. The record is from RefSeq and is a predicted model, not a curated record.
AGGUUACUAUAGCAACUAUCAGCAGCAACCUAACCAUUCAUACUCCUAGCCCGUAGGAGCAUAUCAAAAUACAGGUGCUCCUUAUCAGCCAAUUUCUUCGUUUUUGAAUUCAAGGUCUUAUCCUUGUCCUGCAAGUUAUUCAGGCACUUACUACCAUCUUGGUGAUUAUCAAAAAGCUAGAAGUUAUCCAAGUAGCGGUUACAAUAAUCAGACAAACUCGUGGAAUGAAGACAGUAAUGAAAAUUAUAAUUCUCAUCAAUACUCAAACUACCCUACAGAGGCGUUGGCACAGUAAUGAAAAUUAAAAUUCUCAUCAAUACUCAAACUACCCUACAGAGGUUGAAGCUGUUGUGCACGUCUGAAGAUGGCGAAUGUUGUGGCAAACCAAGUGGGUGGUUCUUUUGGUGAUGCAAAUGAUGCCGAGAAAAAUGUGUUUGAUUUAGGUGCAUUUGUGUGGGACUUGACUUUUGAGGAAGAUGCAAGUGGGUAAGUUAAGAAUUGUGGAAGCUUUCUUUAUAAUUUAUGUAGAACUUCGUUCAUUGAUUUGUUUAAGGUGUGGUCUGUGUUUCAGAGAAUUUGACUAUUCUCAAGUUUUCUUGAAUGUUUGUGUAAAAUUAGUUGGUAAAGUAACUUAAAAUAAAGAAAUAAAUGGUGGGUGAUUGUAAGUUCUCUGGGUGAGUCGAUUGAGGUGCUAAAAUCUUGGAAAUAGCUGGAAACUUGAGAGGGUCACCUUUGGAAGCCUUUGUUGGUGACCAAAAGGGUCACUCUCUUUCCAUCAUGUAGUGAUGCUGACUGAAUUUAAU